CACAUGACUCUCGGCAACGGAUAUCUUGGCUCUCGCAUCGAUGAAGAACGUAGCAAAAUGCGAUACCUGGUGUGAAUUGCAGAAUCCCGUGAACCAUCGAGUUUUUGAACGCAAGUUGCGCCCGAGGCCUUCUGGUCGAGGGCACGUCUGCCUGGGCGUCACGU
RNAcentral lists this ribosomal RNA (164 nucleotides) under Eleusine coracana subsp. africana (African finger millet). RNAcentral's name for it is "5.8S ribosomal RNA". It matches the Rfam family "5.8S ribosomal RNA". From Rfam's summary of the family: 5.8S ribosomal RNA (5.8S rRNA) is a component of the large subunit of the eukaryotic ribosome. It is transcribed by RNA polymerase I as part of the 45S precursor that also contains 18S and 28S rRNA. The record is from RNAcentral. Lineage: Eukaryota; Viridiplantae; Streptophyta; Magnoliopsida; Poales; Poaceae.